AUUGAACGCUGGCGGCAGGCCUAACACAUGCAAGUCGAGCGGAUGAAGGGAGCUUGCUCCUGGAUUCAGCGGCGGACGGGUGAGUAAUGCCUAGGAAUCUGCCUGGUAGUGGGGGAUAACGUCCGGAAACGGGCGCUAAUACCGCAUACGUCCUGAGGGAGAAAGUGGGGGAUCUUCGGACCUCACGCUAUCAGAUGAGCCUAGGUCGGAUUAGCUAGUUGGUGGGGUAAAGGCCUACCAAGGCGACGAUCCGUAACUGGUCUGAGAGGAUGAUCAGUCACACUGGAACCGAGAAACGGUCCAGACUCCUACGGGAGGCAGCAGUGGGGAAUAUUGGACAAUGGGCGAAAGCCUGAUCCAGCCAUGCCGCGUGUGUGAAGAAGGUCUUCGGAUUGUAAAGCACUUUAAGUUGGGAGGAAGGGCAGUAAGUUAAUACCUUGCUGUUUUGACGUUACCAACAGAAUAAGCACCGGCUAACUUCGUG
RNAcentral lists this ribosomal RNA (484 nucleotides) under uncultured bacterium. RNAcentral's name for it is "partial 16S ribosomal RNA". It matches the Rfam family "Bacterial small subunit ribosomal RNA", at positions 30 to 507 of the family's 1533-position model. The record is from RNAcentral.